Gossypium arboreum is the source of this 909-nucleotide long non-coding RNA. RefSeq lists it as uncharacterized. NCBI's taxonomy places the organism in Eukaryota, Viridiplantae, Streptophyta, Magnoliopsida, Malvales, Malvaceae. The record is from RefSeq and is a predicted model, not a curated record. The transcript has 2 exons.
CCUUUUUACAGUAUUUUCCUUUAACUUUAUUAAUGUUCAUCAAGACAACAUACUCAUAAUAAUUGUCUUAAAAGUUGAGUUCAUGUAAUAUAAAAUACAUUUAUACAAUUUGUUAUAUUGAUGUGAAAGCACUGUAUUGUUUAUGAAAUAAGCAUUGUUCCAAUGAUUUUUUUUUUUUCCAUUUCCCUUCCUGGUUCCAAUUCUUUGCUUAUGAUUCUCUGUUUUGUCAUGCAUAAAUUGUGCAAGGACCUGCCAUGGCUGUCUGCUUUAAUCCCAAACCUACAACCUAUAUGCCUGACAGACCUCCAGGUAUCAAAUCAUCACCAUCUCUUCUGUUCUUAUCAAAUCAUACGAAUGGGAAAUCUUGGUUUGAUGAAUUUUAUACAGUUUUAGAUCCAUUUUUAGCUGUCAAAAAUUUGGGGUUGAAGUGUUUAUCAAGGGCCGACUCCUCUGUAUCACCACCACCUAGUGGAGAAACCUGGUUUUUUUUCUUGAGGGAUCGUAUGUGCUCUGCAGUCCUUUUUUUUAAAAAAAAAAACUCCAGGGAAGCUUAAUGUUGUUGCUUUCUCUUUGGAUGACUGCUGCAACUACAACCCCUCCGUGAUAUGAUUCUAGGCUGAGAUCCUGCAUCAGCAAUAACUUAUAUUAUAUUGUUGAAGAAGGUGAUCUUGUUUGUCAUUUGCAGCCAUGGAAGCUUUAUGCUGUUGCUUUCUCUUUGGAUGACUGCUGCAACUACAACCCCUCUGUGAUAUGAUUCAGGGCUGAGAUCCUGCAUCAGCAAUAACUUAUAUUAUAUUAUAUAUUAUGCUGAUGGGAAUUAACAAAUCUGUAUGUAUUUUCAUAUAUACAAGUAACAGAAAUCCCAAUUCUUAUAUAUUUCUACAAUCUGAGAGAGUGAUUUUGCAGGUA